This 403-nucleotide ribosomal RNA is filed under the name uncultured bacterium. RNAcentral's name for it is "partial 16S ribosomal RNA". It matches the Rfam family "Bacterial small subunit ribosomal RNA", at positions 30 to 526 of the family's 1533-position model. The record is from RNAcentral.
AUUGAACGCUGGCGGCAGGCCUAACACAUGCAAGUCGAGCGAGCGGCGGACGGGUGAGUAAUGUAUGGGGACUGCCCGAUAGAGGGGGGUAACUACUGGAAACGGUGUCUCAUACCGCAUACUGUCGGAUUAGCCACAUGGGUUUAGCUAGUAGGUAGGGUAAUGGCUUACCUAGGCGACGAUCUCUAGCUGGUCGGAGAGGAUGAUCAGCCACAAUGGGACGGGGACACGGCCCAGACUCCUACGGAGGCAGCAGUGGGGAAUAUUGCACAAUGGGGGCGAGCCUGAUGCAGCCAUGCCGAGUGUAUGAAGAAGGCGCAAGGGUUGUAAACCUCUUUGGCUAUCGAAGGGGUAGGUGGAGAAGAAGCGCCGGCUAACUACGUGCCAGCAGCCGCGGUAAUAC